Molecule: ribosomal RNA, 253 nt
Filed under: uncultured bacterium
Lineage: Bacteria
Description: partial 16S ribosomal RNA
Rfam family: Bacterial small subunit ribosomal RNA
Source: RNAcentral
UACGAAGGGGGCUAGCGUUGCUCGGAAUCACUGGGCGUAAAGCGCACGUAGGCGGCUUUUUAAGUCAGGGGUGAAAUCCCAGAGCUCAACUCUGGAACUGCCUUUGAUACUGGGUAUCUUGAGUAUGGAAGAGGUAAGUGGAAUUCCGAGUGUAGAGGUGAAAUUCGUAGAUAUUCGGAGGAACACCAGUGGCGAAGGCGGCUUACUGGUCCAUUACUGACGCUGAGGUGCGAAAGCGUGGGGAGCAAACAGG